This is a long non-coding RNA of Cyprinus carpio (common carp), 715 nucleotides long. Lineage: Eukaryota; Metazoa; Chordata; Actinopteri; Cypriniformes; Cyprinidae. The record is from Ensembl.
AUGCUUCUCAUAUGUCCCUUCUGGGAAUGAGACGGGCUGGUUGGCAGUGCACAGCAGCAGAGGGCCUUCUGUUCAUGAUGCCACUGUAGCUGCUUUGAUUGACAGGGUGCAGACUGUGAAGCCCCUCCUCCUGGAAGUCUCAGGCAUACCGAAUCUGAGCAAAGAAUUUUUUUUAUGGUUUUCAUUACAUUUAGCGGGAACUCUGGUCCUCAGGGUCUGCAUAAUAUAUCUGUUAUGGCCAUAUUACCUGCUGCUGGAUUGUACCAUUUAAAUGUGACUGUGACAAACAGAAUCUACACUCAUUCUGCCAGCUGGAAGAUUAGAGCGUGUCCCUUUGGGACUGAGUGCUUGAAUCUCAUGUUGUCCAAGAGCGAUCAGGAUAUCCCAUCUUGUGCCCCUCUGCCCACAGAGGCAGAGGAGAAGCAGUGGGGUAAAGCCUCAACAAAAUCUACAGACAGUCACAAGCGAGGUGUGAGGUCACAGGCAUUCAUAAAGAAAAGCUACUCUGUUAUACAAACUUAUCACUGCUUUUUAUACUUUUCUGCUCUGUAUGUGUGCUGUGUAUUACAGCUAUUUCGAUCUCUUCUGAAAAACGGGCAUAUGCAACAGAGACAGACAUCAAAUUUGUAGCAGUAACAGAAGGGCCUGAUCCUUCUAAUGAUACAUUCAUUAGCAAUUUGGGGAUGGACCAGAAAUAAAAACAACAUAAUCUACA